AUGGCCAGCAGGUGGACAAAGGCACGGAAACAUUGGUCUCCAAGUAUUGCGAAAAAUUGUUACCCUAUAUACCACCAGCAGUUUGAGGCACUUGAUGAGUCUGUAGUCACAUGGAACCCAUGGACUCAGGAGCAUGUACAGAUGGUCUUUGAUAUACGACCCAUCACAGCAGGCAUGUUGACCGAUAGUGCAUUCUGGCUGACUCGCUGCUACUUAUUGUUCCUGUGGUGUGUUGAGCCUUACAACCCAGAGCGUGUCAUGAGACAGUUCGGUCUGUAUCAGGAGAUUCCACCACCUUUUCCAAGAUGUACGGACGAGGAAACCCAUAAGUAA
This 333-nucleotide ribosomal RNA is filed under the name Triticum aestivum (bread wheat). RNAcentral's name for it is "partial small subunit ribosomal RNA". The record is from RNAcentral. Lineage: Eukaryota; Viridiplantae; Streptophyta; Magnoliopsida; Poales; Poaceae.